This 119-nucleotide ribosomal RNA is filed under the name Pteropus alecto (black flying fox). The record is from RNAcentral. Lineage: Eukaryota; Metazoa; Chordata; Mammalia; Chiroptera; Pteropodidae.
GUCUACGGCCAUGCUACCCUGAACAAGCUUGAUCUUGUCUGAUCUUGGAAGCUAAGCAGGGUCGGGCCUGGUUAGUACUUGGAUGGGAGACCACCUAGGAAGACCAGGUGGUGUAGGUG